UGGCAAUGCCUUAGAGGGAAGGAAGAGUGGGGUUUGCUAGUUAACUUUAUUUCCUGAAGAUCUUUGGCUGAUAAUAGUGAUCCUGUAAUAGUGAUUUCUGUAGCAUUUGAACAUUUCCAAAGUACCCACUUCUGAACAGCUUUGGGAGAUAGGGACUACAAGUAUAAUUAUUUUACAGGGUUUUCCUACUCCAGAAUAAGAAGGCAGGCAAGGUCACAGAUUUUAUAUCAAUAUUCUACUCAGCCUCAAAUAGGAAUCACAUUAUACCUUGUGUCCAGCCUCCCUCUAUGCCCAUUAAUAAAUGAUAGCUUUCCCCUUCGAUCAACAUCAGGGAGUCGACAUUCAGGACUUCUGUUUCUUGUGAUUCAGGCAGCACAUCACUUGCCACAUGGAUGGAAGAGAAGUCUAAACCUAAAAAGAAGGGAAGGUUAAUGAGAACGAUCAGCCAGCUUUCAUCAGCGGGGAGGGGAGAAUGUGUAAUACAGAUGUGCAGAGCUGCCCUUCCCUCGCAAAAAAAUGUGAGU
RNAcentral lists this long non-coding RNA (524 nucleotides) under Monodelphis domestica (gray short-tailed opossum). RNAcentral's name for it is "lncRNA (ENSMODG00000038485.1)". The record is from RNAcentral. Lineage: Eukaryota; Metazoa; Chordata; Mammalia; Didelphimorphia; Didelphidae.